CUACGGGAGGCUGCAGUCGAGAAUAAUUCACAAUGGGGGCAACCCUGAUGGUGCAACGCCGCGUGGAGGAUGACGGUCUUCGGAUUGUAAACUCCUGUCAUCCGGGAGUAAGACCUGGCUGUGAAUAGCAGACAGGGUUGAUAGUACCGGAAGAGGAAGGGACGGCUAAAUUCGUGCCAGCAGCCGCGGUAAUACGAAGGUCCCGAGCGUUGUUCGGAAUCACUGGGCGUAAAGGGAGCGUAGGCGGCGUGGUAAGUCAGAUGUGAAAUCCCGGGGCUCAACCCCGGAACUGCAUCCGAUACUGGCGUGCUAGAGGAUUGGAGAGGUAGCUGGAAUUCUUGGUGUAGCAGUGAAAUGCGUGGAUAUCAAGAGGAACACUCGUGGCGAAAGCGAGCUACUGGACAACUCCUGACGCUGAGGCUCGAAGGCCAGGGUAGCGAAAGGGAUUAGAUACCCCUGUAGUC
RNAcentral lists this ribosomal RNA (464 nucleotides) under uncultured bacterium. Its description in RNAcentral is "partial 16S ribosomal RNA". It matches the Rfam family "Bacterial small subunit ribosomal RNA", at positions 339 to 795 of the family's 1533-position model. The record is from RNAcentral.